Molecule: ribosomal RNA, 466 nt
Filed under: uncultured bacterium
Lineage: Bacteria
Description: partial 16S ribosomal RNA
Rfam family: Bacterial small subunit ribosomal RNA
Source: RNAcentral
GAUGAACGCUGGCGGCGUGCUUAACACAUGCAAGUCGAACGAUGAAGCUCAGCUUGCUGGGUGGAUUAGUGGCGAACGGGUGAGUAACACGUGAGUAACCUGCCCUGAACUCUGGGAUAAGCCUGGGAAACUAGGUCUAAUACCGGAUAGGAGCGCCUACCGCAGGGUGGGUGUUGGAAAAAUUUAUCGGUUUUGGAUGGACUCGCGGCCUAUCAGCUUGUUGGGGAGGUAAUGGCUCACCAAGGCGACGACGGGUAGCCGGCCUGAGAGGGUGACCGGCCACACUGGGACUGAGACACGGCCCAGACUCCUACGGGAGGCAGAAGUGGGGAAUAUUGCACAAUGGGCGAAAGCCUGAUGCAGCGACGCCGCGUGAGGGAUGACGGCCUUCGGGUUGUAACCCUCUUUCAGUAGGGAAGAAGCGAAAGUGACGGUACCUGCAGAAGAAGCACCGGCUAACUACGUG